Molecule: ribosomal RNA, 495 nt
Filed under: uncultured bacterium
Lineage: Bacteria
Description: partial 16S ribosomal RNA
Rfam family: Bacterial small subunit ribosomal RNA
Source: RNAcentral
GACGAACGCUGGCGGCGUGCCUAAUACAUGCAAGUAGAACGCUGAAGGAGGAGCUUGCUUCUCCGGAUGAGUUGCGAACGGGUGAGUAACGCGUAGGUAACCUGCCUGGUAGCGGGGGAUAACUAUUGGAAACGAUAGCUAAUACCGCAUAACAGUAGAUGUUGCAUGACAUUUGCUUAAAAGGUGCAAUUGCAUCACUACCAGAUGGACCUGCGUUGUAUUAGCUAGUUGGUGAGGUAACGGCUCACCAAGGCGACGAUACAUAGCCGACCUGAGAGGGUGAUCGGCCACACUGGAGUUGAGACACGGCCCAGACUCCUACGGGAGGCAGCAGUAGGGAAUCUUCGGCAAUGGACGGAAGUCUGACCGAUCAACGCCGCGUGAGUGAAGAAGGUUUUCGGAUCGUAAAGCUCUGUUGUAAGAGAAGAACGAGUGUGAGAGUGGAAAGUUCACACUGUGACGGUAUCUUACCAGAAAGGGACGGCUAACUACGUG